UAUACAACUCACUACCUCGU
This 20-nucleotide unclassified non-coding RNA is filed under the name synthetic construct. The record is from RNAcentral.